CUUCUCUUCCCAUGCUAUUUGGUUGGUUAACUGCUGUGGCCUUGGAAGAGCAGCCCGGUUGGUAGGACUAAAGAGUCUCUACUUGACAGGUCACACUUUCCCUGAAGCUUAUGUUUUCUAAUGGAUAGCUUUAUAUUGACAUAAAAGGCUCCCAGAUCUUCAGCAAAAUAUUUGAGGAUGUCCCAGUAAAAGAGGACUUGAUUGGUUAUGUUUAAGAGCUGGGGCUUUUCAGGCAACGGGAGACAUGGAAUACAGUGUGGGGAACUCUGGUGACAUGCACUUUAGAAUCACUUCUCUGGCUGCAUGAUGGAGCCUGGGUUUAAAAGGGUCAAGACUGGAAGUAAGAAGAACAGCAGGAGGUUAGGAGAGCGAGUGAGGAUGAGGGUCUCAGCUCAGAAGCUGUGGAAACAGGGUCUAGAGGCAAAAUCGACAGGCUUUGGUCCUUGUGUGUGGGUGUCUGCAGUGGGGGUAAUGCCAGUGAGAAACUGUGAGGAUUAACAGUGACUCCCUAGUGCCUGGCUGGAGUAACUGGAUAGUUGGUGAUGUGGCACAUGAAGUCUUACAAUUCAGAGGAGGCAGGUUGUGAGAGAAGCUGGAAGAUGAGUUCACUUUUGAUGGGAUGAAGUUUGGGAUGCUUAUGAGAGAAAUCUUGCAGGGGGGUUGGAUAUUCCAGUCCGAGGCUUAGAAAAGACAUCGGAGGAAGACAGAUACAUAUUUGAGUUACUGGUAUAAUCAAAUGGAAUCAGGGAGAGAAUGGACAAAGAGAAAUCCAGAGGAUUUGGAGAUCAUCAAUAUUUGGGGACAAGGGAGAGGAUGUGGAUUCCAGGAGGAGGUGGAGAAAAAAGAGGGACCGCAGAGUGAAGGCAAGAGAAGAGUUCAAAGUUGUGCAUGGUAAGAUGAUGGGGGUGCGGAUGGUGGCCACCAGGGAGAAAGCCCAGUGAUACAGAAAAUGGGCAGAGAGGCCAUGCCAGGGAGGGGG
This 979-nucleotide long non-coding RNA is filed under the name Marmota monax (woodchuck). Lineage: Eukaryota; Metazoa; Chordata; Mammalia; Rodentia; Sciuridae. The record is from RNAcentral.